UAUUACUCACAACAGCUAAAGCAGGAAGACAGCCCCCACGUGCUUCUCGGCGGGGGCAUGGAUAAGCGGAAUAUGGCAUCCGCCUGCAGUGGAAUGCUGUUCCGAUGUGAGAAGGAAGGCAGUGCUGAGAUGGGCUACAACACGGAUGACCCUUGAGGACACGACGCUGGGUGACCUAAGGCUGUCACAAAAACACAGGAUUGUAUUUUGAAGUCGUCUCUAUAUCCAGCAUGGGCCUCACACCUCCAGCCCCAAGAUGAAGAGUCUCCUGACGGAGCCAGCUAGGCACCCCCAUUUUUACCUUAUUAAUGUGGCUAUUACAAAAUAUAAAAUUGCCUAUGGGGUUGUC
Long non-coding RNA from Neogale vison (American mink), 349 nucleotides. RefSeq lists it as uncharacterized. The record is from RefSeq and is a predicted model, not a curated record. The transcript has 2 exons. Lineage: Eukaryota; Metazoa; Chordata; Mammalia; Carnivora; Mustelidae.